This 755-nucleotide ribosomal RNA is filed under the name Longidorus profundorum. RNAcentral's name for it is "LSU rRNA". It matches the Rfam family "Eukaryotic large subunit ribosomal RNA", at positions 369 to 928 of the family's 3401-position model. Lineage: Eukaryota; Metazoa; Nematoda; Enoplea; Dorylaimida; Longidoridae. The record is from RNAcentral.
AAGAACUUUGAAGAGAGAGUUCAAAAGGGCGUGAAACCGCUUAGAAUAAAACGGACGGAGCCGUCAGUGGCCUUCCGGAAUCAGUCGUACGACGCGCGAUAAUGUACCGGUGUAGAGCGAAAGUCUACCCGGCGCGUUAGGAAAUAGUAGCGUUCGUUCGAUGCAUUUCCGGAGGGUAUGCGCCACGACCGAUGCGAAAGGCUAGUGAAUCCGGCGAAUUGAGGUGGAAAACUCCUCGGGGUAUUCAGUACCAGUUCGUCGGCCUAUAGUCGCUAGACCGCAGUAAGCAUCGAGCGCGGAAUAUAUCGAACACUGGCAAAAAUAGUGCUCGUUUAAGCGAUGGAUCAUCGGCGGAAUACGCUGUACCUGCUCGCAGGUUAUGUAUAUUACCGUCCGGUUCUUGAAGUCGCGGACGAGUCAAUAGUGUUCGGGCGUCUGUGGCGUCCGAGACGGUCAACCGUCCGACCCGUCUUGAAACACGGACCAAGGAGUCUAACGUACGCGCGAGCUAAUGAGUGGAAAACUCAUAAGCGCAAUAAAAGUAAAAGGUACGAUCCCGUUGUAUUUUUAUACCUCGGGCGCAGUACCGUCCCAUCCUAAUCGCUCGUCGAUAGGGUGGAGAUAGAGUGCAUACGUUGGGACCCGAAAGAUGGUGAACUAUGCCUGAGCAGAGCGAAGCCAGAGGAAACUCUGGUGGAGGUUCGUAGCGGUUCUGACGUGCAAAUCGAUCGUCAGACUUGGGUAUAGGGGCGAAA